This is a long non-coding RNA of Mytilus californianus (California mussel), 1199 nucleotides long. RefSeq lists it as uncharacterized. Lineage: Eukaryota; Metazoa; Mollusca; Bivalvia; Mytilida; Mytilidae. The transcript is spliced from 2 exons. The record is from RefSeq and is a predicted model, not a curated record.
AAUAUGUAAAUUAGUUAUACACAAUGUUAAUUAUUCCAUGUGAGGAACCUCGUUUGUAAUAAAUUUGUCUUAUUUCUCAUUUUUCUUUUCCUAUAGUUAUUUGAUAUUAUAACAGAUCUUUUAUAGUCUCGAUCUCUUAACGUUGAACUUUUCUAAAUUCUGGUAAUUUUGUGCUUUGCACAUUGCAUGAGUUAUUGUCUAAUUCUGAACACGGAAUGUUGACCUCUCGAUUUAUACUAUCAUAAUAUUCUAUUUAUUCAUUAUCAAUAUUAUCAAUGAUCCUACAAGAUUUUUUACUGCCCACUGCGAAUCAUCUUUACUGUAAAUGGCAUUUUCGGUGGAAGAAAAUAAGGGUUGUUUGAAUGCAAAGUGAAUCCGUUUAUAGAUCCUUCUUUGAUUAUUUCCUGGCAGAUGAUUGGUUAACAGGAUUGCUAUAAAAGUACCAGAAAUGAGAGUGGGUGGGCUGAUACAAAGAUAUUUGCGAGUAUAAAAGGAAUUCACAGCAAGUAUUCUCUCGAUCAGACAAAGCAUGCACAAGAGAGGUUCCGAGAAAACAAUAUUCGCCUACAGACAGACAAGAGAUAAACAAGAUGGCAGAAAUGGAUAUUGUGUCGUUACUAAAAACUUCAGAACUGCAGGAAUUGACGAAGUAUCUUCAAUGUUGGUGACAUAUUUGAUACUACAUCAUAAAAGGGUUAUUAGUCGAAUAUGGUACCGACUAUGUGCUAAUACUUUGUCAGAACUAUAGAUUUAUUCAUUUAAAUGAAAAUAUUGAGAAAUUAAAUGCAUGUUUAUAUCUAUGUUCGAAAUUUUUAGUGACAAUCCAUAUUGUUUGAAGAAACACAUUUUAGACACCGGAGCAUCAAAAAAGUAUAGGAAACAGUAUUUGUUUAAUCAAAACAAUUGUCCAUGCGGUACUUUAUUUUUACCGCGAAACAUAAAACUCAUAAUUGUUUAUCCUCUCGAUUGAAAAAAAGACAUAACUUUUGGAUGGUUAAAGUAAAUCUACCAAAUUGAAGUUAGAAUAUACACUUUGCUCAUUAAAAUUAUGUAGAACUUUAUAAUCACUUUGAUAAGCAGUACUUUAUUUUUCUCUCUGUUUUGUCUAAGGGAAAUCUAGAAAAUUAUAUGAAAACAAUAAUGUGAUUAAAGAAGACCUUUUUGUUAAAUAAACUGAAUGUGACUUUUUUCCUUUGUAA